This 1094-nucleotide long non-coding RNA is filed under the name Bemisia tabaci. Its description in RNAcentral is "lncRNA ENSSSA3NGG004530". Lineage: Eukaryota; Metazoa; Arthropoda; Insecta; Hemiptera; Aleyrodidae. The record is from RNAcentral.
UCUUUAAAUAAAAACAAUGGUCUCUAAUCUUUUUGGCUGGAUUUUGAAACAAUUUUCAUCACAUUAACUUUUGAGUCCUUAUUUUACGCAUCUCUGGCUAACUCUGAGGAAGAAUCAGAAGAAUCUGUCCUCCACAAAUCACCUGAGGAAAUUAAAGCAGCUUUGGAAAAACAUAGAAUUAUACCUGACUUGCUGGAUACUGCACCGCCAAACGCUGUUCAGGUGGAAUGGAGUGAAGGUUUGUACGCAAAUUUUGGAAACGUGAUCGAUGAUUUAGGUGGUAUCAGAGAAGAACCAUUUUGGAUUGAGUGGCCGGGAGACAACAUGGAAGAUCGUUAUUGUUUAUUCAUGUUAGGCCUAGACGAGCCCUCCCAAAGUAAUCAUUCGCUUAGGGAGUGGAAGAACUGGAUUGUUGUGAAUAUUGAAGGAUACAACACUACCGUCGUCGCCGGUGAGCACUUGGCUGAAUACGUUCGUCCGUACCCCAUUAUUGGCACAGGUAAAAUAUCGUAUAUCUCCCUUCGCAAGAAAGUUAGUAAGCUGUUUUUCUCAUUUUCUAAGUCUUUAGAAUACACUUUAAUAGCUGAUAGAACGAUAUAUUCACAUGAUGUAAUUUAUGUGUAAAUCAGUUGGACAACAUUUUACAAUCAGGAACUACAAUUUCUUGCUCAUCCCAUUAAACACUUACGUGCGUUGGGAAAUUAAUGGCACACGUGUGUUUUUUAUAAAUUGAGCGAGAUAUUUAGUUCCUAAUUGUAAAAUGUAGUCCAUUGUGAUAUUUUUCAGUGGGGACAAUCAUCUAUUUCUCCGUAAUACUUGUAAUUUUUUAUUAAGAAAACAAUAUUAAAAUCGUGGGGUGUAUGCAAAAUCGACAAAAAUUCCCCCCUCAUGGAUUUUGACCAAUUUUCAGUAUGUCAUCCCUCACUAUAGGAUACGCCUUUCCCCAAAAUUUCAAGGCCUGAAAUGAAUUUCUUUCCGCGUAGCAGCGUUGCCAAGUUGAAAACCGUCGAGUUCCAUAUCUUUUGAACGAAAAAAGAUAUUGAGGUGCGGUUUGCGCUAAAAUUCUUCAAAAAUUGCGGUCUUUUGAAUCAUGU